GGGGUGCUCGAGUGGCGAACGGUGAGUAACACGUGAGUAACCUGCCCUUGACUUUGGGAUAACUUCAGGAAACUGGGGCUAAUACCGGAUAGGAGCUCCUGCUGCAUGGUGGGGGUUGGAAAGUUUCGGCGGUUGGGGAUGGACUCGCGGCUUAUCAGCUUGUUGGUGGGGUAGUGGCUUACCAAGGCUUUGACGGGUAGCCGGCCUGAGAGGGUGACCGGCCACAUUGGGACUGAGAUACGGCCCAG
This 248-nucleotide ribosomal RNA is filed under the name uncultured Actinomycetales bacterium. Its description in RNAcentral is "partial 16S ribosomal RNA". It matches the Rfam family "Bacterial small subunit ribosomal RNA", at positions 84 to 334 of the family's 1533-position model. Lineage: Bacteria; Bacillati; Actinomycetota; Actinomycetes; Actinomycetales. The record is from RNAcentral.